Long non-coding RNA from Stegostoma tigrinum, 3348 nucleotides. RefSeq lists it as uncharacterized. The transcript has 3 exons. Lineage: Eukaryota; Metazoa; Chordata; Chondrichthyes; Orectolobiformes; Stegostomatidae. The record is from RefSeq and is a predicted model, not a curated record.
GGUAUUUCAUUCGAAGGAGCUGCUGAUUGUUCGUUCCCGCAGCUGUUUUACAGCAAAAUCAGACUCUCGGAAGCGCGGCGCUGAAUUUCCCUGCCAUCCCAAAGAACGCUGCCCUUUGAAACUGUCAAAAAAAAAAUUAUUGUUGCAAAAUUUCCAGCUUUGUACCAUCAGACAGCUGGGCAGCUAACAGCAGAGAAAGUCACAUUGCAAAUCUACCCUCAAAUAACACACCGCUUUCUUCCCGGAUUACAACAGAGAGAUGGAAAGGAGCAUCGGGACAUUUGAAACAAACUCGAUGACAAUACAAUUCCGGAGUUCUCUCCCUCUGUUAUAUUCCUCGGCUCCUGUUCUCGUCUGCAGAAUGGUGCUGAAAUUCGUGAAAUUAGAUUUUCGCUUCGUUUUACAGCGAGCAUGGCAAUCGUUAUCAGAGUCCGUCUCUGCUCGGUUCUAAAUCGCUCCAAGUCAUUCAUUUCAUUGAAACUGAUUCCACUCGCUGGAUUUAAAGUUUCUGUUUUUUUUAAAAAAAGAAAAUAAAACGGACAAAUGUGGAAUCAGGAGCAGGAGUCGCGGGUUGGGAGCAAGUGGAUAAUAUUUGGAAGAAAAGCAGACUCAGCAAAUGUGAAGCGAAGGAUUUGUGGAAAACAGAUUAAUGAUGAAAGAAGAGCUAAUCUUCAGGGCGAGAAAUGCAAGAAGACCCGGCGAAACACGUGCGGCAUAAUUAAAUCAGAAAUUUAUUUUUGUUUUUGAAAACCCCAGUUUGUGAUGGUAGGGAAUUUUUUUGGCGUGUUUGCUGGUUUACUGAGGAAGGGCAGAUAUCCCCCUACUGGUGAACAGUCUGAGUUCACUGCAAAGGUCACUAUUGUAAAACUCAAUUUACAACAGCAAUUCGGCUUUGGUGCGACCGUUUAGGUGUAAAAAAACCAAAAACAAAGCGGGGGGGGGUGGGGAAACCACCUUUUGAAACAAAGUUAACGGGGUUAAAGAACGAAGGAGUGCUGCAUAAUUUUGGAUGAAAAUUUUCCCCAUUAAUUGAGGCGCUCUCAGCUCUCCUCACUGUCUGAUGCCUAGAAAUUGUCUCUCUCUCUCCGAGAGGUGCAUCUACAAUUGCACUCACUGAAAUGACACGUCUGAGCUGUCGUUGUCAAACAGGGUGAGUAAAUUAUGACAAGCAAUUCCUGCAGUAACUGGCCACAUGGCAAAGGUGACGCGUCCGCGAUGCUCUCAGUUUAAUUAUUUGUCUCCAAACUCCCGCACAAAGUGGCAGGGGGUGUUUGAAGACCAGAAACGCUGCUUUUCCACCCCCCCCCCCCGCCAACUUCUCAGCCCCAUCAAACAAUUACACUUGUUCCUUCCACUUUUGAUGUUGACACGCAAUGAAAUGCCCUACAACGUCCCAAUAUUAGCAACGUCUCUCAUUUAGAUGCCCCGUUUCUUCUCUUGCCUCGCCCCUACUUUAUGUUUUUGUUUAAAUGAGACCAGCUACUGUUAACCGUUUCACCAAGGGAAAGUUGGCGAAAAUUUGAACAAACCUUACCGAGGCAUCAUUAAACUGUCACAUAUUGUUUAAGUAAUACCAUAAAACGUUUCGUUGACACAUCUAACUAUUAAAAUCUUAAAUAAUUUUACGAUUUAAAAAAAAUCACUAAAGUAUUUGGGUGAUUGAUUUAGAAUUGGCCAGUGAGAGUGAUAAUUGCUCAUGAUUCUUUCAGUUUCCCAGUAUUAUUGCAGACGCUAAUUUUAAACAACUAAUUGGUCAUUUCCUAAUUAGAGUUUAUCCGUUUUGAUCAUGUUAUGUACUUUUAAAUCGUCAGUUAUUGAAAUCAAAAAAUACAUUUUUUAAAGUGCUUUAUUUGGGCGGCUGCAUUUUUAUUCCUGAACUGAACUCAUGUUGGAUAUAAAAAAGAAUUCGUUGAUUGAGAUCUUGCUGGUGAAAAACACAUGCGUUUUGUCAAAUUGUUCCCCUUGCACUCAUCAGGACAUUUUUCAAGAGUACAAAUUCAAAAGGAAAGCCAGUAAUUAUAUGACAUGAGAUUGAAAUCCUGUCUGAGCAGUGUCCAGGUGAGGCAGCGUUCUGAAAUAAACAAUUCAGUUGGAGACAGGGAACAGUACCUGUUUAACAAUUCCUUUCUCUCAGUCUCUCUGAACAACCCCCCCAACUAUCCUUUGAGUCUUGAGAUCUGCUGGAUCCAGCAAAAGGAAUUAAGGCUGACAUUGGCAGCUUGAUUACCAAGGUCAGAGCAGACAAGUCUGCCUCAGGUGUCAGCACAUGCUAGACCAGCUCAGCUCCUAUCCACCUGAUGAGAUCUGAUCCAAUAAUAGUCACUGUGUUAGCCUUUAAUGAGGCAUCCUGUGAGAGCUUAUCAGCCUCCACCUGCUCUCUGUAGUAAUACCAACAGUUCCAGGGAACGUCAAAGAAGCACAACCAUCCCUUCCCUCCUCAAUCUCUUGUACAGGAAGAUUGUGUUUCAAACUAACAAUUGUCACUUAUGUUCAGGCCCUCUUUGAUCCAGGUAUGUCCUGGAACGGCACCUGACGUACUGUUUGGAGCACCGGCCGUGUGACAAAUUAGACGCAGUGCAAGGAAGAACAUACGCAGAAAGUGUUGUGUUAGGUUUCUUCAGUGAUCUACUCCCUUGGUAACAGAUGCCAAUAACAACCAAACUCAAACAAAACCUCGAUCAAAAAUAUCGGCUCCCCGGGGAGGUUGUUAGAGAGCUGUAUGGAUGAUCCCGUGAACUGAGAGGGAAAAAUCGUUCGUUUUCUGACUGGUAACGGAGCUGAAAGUUGAGAUUUUGCAAUAUUUGACUCUCACUUUGAUAACUUUCAAUAUAGUUCCAUGGUUAUGAAUUUACUUGGAUUUACACAGGUAAAACAAGGUUUCCGACAUAUUUCCAGCAGAGUGGGAGCAGGUCCAAGGACAUUUCCAAUCAUUAAACUUUGCUGUUUGUUCUCAUAGCUGCCAUUACCAUUAUUGAGGCCUUACCAUUCUUCAAAACUCUGUGCAUUCUCACCAACUGAAAGCAGAAUGGGAUGCUGCAGGAAAAUGGGAUGCACACAGCAAGAUCCCACAAACGUCAAUCUUUCAAUGAUUUUCUAAAGAUGUUCUUGGAUGGAUAAACAUUGGCUCCUUACCUUCAGAAAACAGCAACUUAUAUUUAAAAUUUAAAUAACUUAUAUUUGACUUGUACCUUUAACAUAAUAAAGCACCUCAAGGCGUUUCACAUGUGCAUUAUAAAAUGAACUAUGGAAAUGCCAGUUAAAGAAACCCAGAGAAGCAAUCUACACUUGUCUGCAAAUUUAGGGAACAAUUUGGUUAUUUAAAUCCGUGAAAAUCAUUUUUUUAAUUCA